GUUAUAAUGUUGGAAUGGUAGACAAUUAACACUUAAAAUGUUAUGCUUUAUUAGCGUGAGAGUUCAAAUCUCUCUUAUAACA
RNAcentral lists this transfer RNA (82 nucleotides) under Hanseniaspora guilliermondii. RNAcentral's name for it is "transfer RNA-Leu(TAA)". It matches the Rfam family "tRNA". From Rfam's summary of the family: Transfer RNA (tRNA) molecules are approximately 80 nucleotides in length. Lineage: Eukaryota; Fungi; Ascomycota; Saccharomycetes; Saccharomycodales; Saccharomycodaceae. The record is from RNAcentral. RNAcentral also lists the same sequence under 1 other name.